CCUACGGGAGGCAGCAGUAGGGAAUUUUCCGCAAUGGGCGAAAGCCUGACGGAGCAAUACCGCGUGAGGGAUGACGGCCUGUGGGUUGUAAACCUCUUUUCUCAAGGAAGAAGUUCUGACGGUACUUGAGGAAUAAGCAUCGGCUAACUCUGUGCCAGCAGCCGCGGUAAUACAGAGGAUGCAAGCGUUAUCCGGAAUCACUGGGCAUAAAGCGUCUGUAGGUUGUUUAGUAAGUCUGCUGUUAAAGACUGGGGCUUAACCCCAGAAAAGCAGUGGAAACUGCUAGACUCGAGUGUGGUAGAGGUAGAGGGAAUUCCUAGUGUAGCGGUGAAAUGCGUAGAUAUUAGGAAGAACACCAAUGGCGAAGGCACUCUACUGGGCCAUAACUGACACUGAGAGACGACAGCUAGGGGAGCAAACGGGAUUAGAUACCCCGGUAGUCCUAGCCGUAAACGAUGGAUACUAGAUGUUGCACGUAUUAACCCGUGCAGUAUCGUAGCUAAGGCGUUAAGUAUCCCGCCUGGGAAGUACGCUCGCAGAGAGAACGUACAAAGAAAGUUAGACGGCGUGAGACGUGCCGAACGGACGACGACGAGGGAGGUAGG
This 605-nucleotide ribosomal RNA is filed under the name uncultured bacterium. Its description in RNAcentral is "bacterial SSU rRNA". It matches the Rfam family "Bacterial small subunit ribosomal RNA", at positions 338 to 1415 of the family's 1533-position model. The record is from RNAcentral.